RNAcentral lists this long non-coding RNA (730 nucleotides) under Elaeis guineensis (African oil palm). RNAcentral describes it as "long non-coding RNA (EGUI_LNC027197)". Lineage: Eukaryota; Viridiplantae; Streptophyta; Magnoliopsida; Arecales; Arecaceae. The record is from RNAcentral.
UUCGGCUUACCACCGUAUAUCGUGAGGCACAGUACGGAUAACCGACACAAGAGUAUCGGGGUCCGACUUAUCGGUGCUCCCCCGACUAAAUACGCCGGACGACAUCCGACUGAAUGCGUCGGAAGAGACUCGACUACCGCACUUAUCCCACGGUUGGUCGGCUUCCGACUCAACGGACGCGCCCGACUCAUGGCCGGAGGAAGGACGUCUGACUUACGACCUCGACCACCGAAGGCCGGUCCAAAGUCGGGACUUGUCCUACCUGCGUGGCGGCACGAGUUGCCGAACGUCCUAACCGACCUAUAUGAGUUAGCGACUUACGAAGGCAUUCAACAACACAUAAGAGAAAGAAGAACAAGCAGAGAAAAAAGUAAAGGACUGAUUUCAUUCAAGGUCAAAAGGAGUUUUCAAAAUCGGGCCGAAGCCCAGUUACAAUAGUUCUAAGAAGUAAAACGAAAAAAGAUAAAAGCCGAUGAGACCGCGGUCAUCCUUCCGAGUCGAUCUCCUCGACCGACGGAAGAUCGGGGAUGACCGGCAUAUCCACCAUGAUCGGCGCUAGGUCGACGGCCGAAGCAGGAUCGUCGGUCGGUGGGGAGCUGGCAGUCGACGUCGGGACACGAGUCGCAGCCGUCUCUCCUUCGACCACUUGUUCCUGGACGGCCUCCCCCGCCACGACGACGCCUCCCGAUGGCGGGUCGGCCAUCUCUUCAGUGACUUGCUCCUCGGCCCC